UGGAAGACUAGUGAUUUUGUUGUUCUGAUAUCCAUUGACAACAAGUCACAGCCGGCCUCA
Molecule: microRNA precursor, 60 nt
Filed under: Echinops telfairi (small Madagascar hedgehog)
Lineage: Eukaryota; Metazoa; Chordata; Mammalia; Afrosoricida; Tenrecidae
Description: Ete-Mir-7-P4_pre stem-loop
Source: RNAcentral